GGAAUCUUGGACAAUGGGGGAAACCCUGAUCCAGCAAUGCCGCGUGUGGGAUGAAGGCCCUCGGGUUGUAAACCACUUUUGGCAGGAAAGAAAUCGCCUGUGCUAAUACCAUGGGCGGAUGACGGUACCUGCAGAAUAAGCACCGGCUAACUACGUGCCAGCAGCCGCGGUAAUACGUAGGGUGCGAGCGUUAAUCGGAAUUACUGGGCGUAAAGCGUGCGCAGGCGGUUUUGUAAGACAGAUGUGAAAUCCCCGGGCUUAACCUGGGAACUGCAUUUGUGACUGCAAGACUAGAGUGUGUCAGAGGGAGGUGGAAUUCCGCGUGUAGCAGUGAAAUGCGUAGAGAUGCGGAAGAACACCGAUGGCGAAGGCAGCCUCCUGGGAUAACACUGACGCUCAGGCACGAAAGCGUGGGGAGCAAACAGGAUUAGAUACCCUGGUAGUCCACGCCCUAAACGAUGUCAACUAGUUGUUGGGGAUUCAUUUCCUUAGUAACGUAGCUAACGCGUGAAGUUGACCGCCUGGGGAGUACGGCCGCAAGGUUAAAACUCAAAUGAAUUGACGG
Molecule: ribosomal RNA, 565 nt
Filed under: uncultured bacterium
Lineage: Bacteria
Description: bacterial SSU rRNA
Rfam family: Bacterial small subunit ribosomal RNA
Source: RNAcentral